GAUGAACGCUGGCGGCGUGCCUAAUACAUGCAAGUCGAGCGAACAGACGAGGAGCUUGCUCCUCUGACGUUAGCGGCGGACGGGUGAGUAACACGUGGAUAACCUACCUAUAAGACUGGGAUAACUUCGGGAAACCGGAGCUAAUACCGGAUAAUAUAUUGAACCGCAUGGUUCAAUAGUGAAAGACGGUUUUGCUGUCACUUAUAGAUGGAUCCGCGCCGCAUUAGCUAGUUGGUAAGGUAACGGCUUACCAAGGCAACGAUGCGUAGCCGACCUGAGAGGGUGAUCGGCCACACUGGAACUGAGACACGGUCCAGACUCCGACGGGAGGCAGCAGUAGGGAAUCUUCCGCAAUGGGCGAAAGCCUGACGGAGCAACGCCGCGUGAGUGAUGAAGGUCUUCGGAUCGUAAAACUCUGUUAUUAGGGAAGAACAAAUGUGUAAGUAACUAUGCACGUCUUGACGGUACCUAAUCAGAAAGCCACGGCUAACUACGG
Molecule: ribosomal RNA, 496 nt
Filed under: uncultured bacterium
Lineage: Bacteria
Description: partial 16S ribosomal RNA
Rfam family: Bacterial small subunit ribosomal RNA
Source: RNAcentral